This 1122-nucleotide ribosomal RNA is filed under the name human gut metagenome. RNAcentral describes it as "bacterial SSU rRNA". It matches the Rfam family "Bacterial small subunit ribosomal RNA", at positions 388 to 1520 of the family's 1533-position model. The record is from RNAcentral.
CCAGCCAAGUCGCGUGAGGGAAGACGGCCCUACGGGUUGUAAACCUCUUUUGUCGGAGAGUAAAGUACGCUACGUGUAGUGUAUUGCAAGUAUCCGAAGAAAAAGCAUCGGCUAACUCCGUGCCAGCAGCCGCGGUAAUACGGAGGAUGCAAGCGUUAUCCGGAUUUAUUGGGUUUAAAGGGUGCGUAGGCGGCACGCCAAGUCAGCGGUGAAAUUUCCGGGCUCAACCCGGAGUGUGCCGUUGAAACUGGCGAGCUAGAGUACACAAGAGGCAGGCGGAAUGCGUGGUGUAGCGGUGAAAUGCAUAGAUAUCACGCAGAACCCCGAUUGCGAAGGCAGCCUGCUAGGGUGAAACAGACGCUGAGGCACGAAAGCGUGGGUAUCGAACAGGAUUAGAUACCCUGGUAGUCCACGCAGUAAACGAUGAUAACUCGUUGUCGGCGAUACACAGUCGGUGACUAAGCGAAAGCGAUAAGUUAUCCACCUGGGGAGUACGUUCGCAAGAAUGAAACUCAAAGGAAUUGACGGGGGCCCGCACAAGCGGAGGAACAUGUGGUUUAAUUCGAUGAUACGCGAGGAACCUUACCCGGGCUCAAACGCAGGGGGAAUAUAUAUGAAAGUAUAUAGCUAGCAAUAGUCACCUGCGAGGUGCUGCAUGGUUGUCGUCAGCUCGUGCCGUGAGGUGUCGGCUUAAGUGCCAUAACGAGCGCAACCCCUAUCGACAGUUACUAACGGGUCAAGCCGAGGACUCUGUCGAGACUGCCGGCGCAAGCCGCGAGGAAGGUGGGGAUGACGUCAAAUCAGCACGGCCCUUACGUCCGGGGCGACACACGUGUUACAAUGGCAGGUACAGAAGGCAGCCAGUCAGCAAUGACGCGCGAAUCCCGAAAACCUGUCUCAGUUCGGAUUGGAGUCUGCAACCCGACUCCAUGAAGCUGGAUUCGCUAGUAAUCGCGCAUCAGCCAUGGCGCGGUGAAUACGUUCCCGGGCCUUGUACACACCGCCCGUCAAGCCAUGGAAGCCGGGAGUACCUGAAGCAUGCAACCGCAAGGAGCGUACGAAGGUAAUACCGGUAACUGGGGCUAAGUCGUAACAAGGUAGCCGUACCGGAAGGUGCGGCUG